UUUAUGGAGAGUUUGAUCCUGGCUCAGGAUGAACGCUGGCGGCGUGCCUAAUACAUGCAAGUCGAGCGAACAGACGAGAAGCUUGCUUCUCUGAUGUUAGCGGCGGACGGGUGAGUAACACGUGGAUAACCUACCUAUAAGACUGGGAUAACUUCGGGAAACCGGAGCUAAUACCGGAUAAUAUUUUGAACCGCAUGGUUCAAAAGUGAAAGACGGUCUUGCUGUCACUUAUAGAUGGA
This 239-nucleotide ribosomal RNA is filed under the name Staphylococcus aureus. RNAcentral describes it as "partial 16S ribosomal RNA". It matches the Rfam family "Bacterial small subunit ribosomal RNA", at positions 1 to 229 of the family's 1533-position model. The record is from RNAcentral. Lineage: Bacteria; Bacillati; Bacillota; Bacilli; Caryophanales; Staphylococcaceae.